This is a non-coding RNA of Hydra vulgaris (swiftwater hydra), 258 nucleotides long. Lineage: Eukaryota; Metazoa; Cnidaria; Hydrozoa; Anthoathecata; Hydridae. The record is from RefSeq and is a predicted model, not a curated record.
UAGUUUCAAUUUACAUGUUUACUUAAGUUGAAUUUUGCAAUUUUUUAUUUUAGAACGUUGUUAUAAAAUGAUGAAGAGUUGUAAAGUAAAAAUCUUAUUUUUACUUUAUAGGUUAUAUUUAAUUUUAUUAAUUUAAUUAUUAUAGAUUAGCAAAAAAGAAAAAUGAACGUUAACCACGGAGAUGAAACUGAAGUUAACCACGGAGAUGAAACUGAAGUUGACAAUGAUGGGGAAGAUGAAAGUAAGUUUUAAAUUUUG